GGUUUGAUCAUGGCUCAGACGAACGCUGGUGUAGAUGUUGCAGAUGCAAGCUCGAACGCAGCAGGCCAGACUUCCGGCCUGCAUGAGUGGCGAACGGUGAGGCACGUAUCGGAACUGUGUCGGUGGCGUGAUGACCCAGCGCGAAAGCGUAGCUAAUACCGCAUACUGCCCUUCGGGGGAAAGCGGGGGGACCUUCGCCUCGUGGUUCAUUAGAGCGGCCGAUAUCGGAUUAGCUAGUUGGUGGGGUAACGGCUCACCAAGGCGACGAUCCAGGGCUGGUUUGAGAGACGACCAGCCACACUGGGACCGAGACACGGCCCAGACUCCCAUGGAGGCGGCAGUGGGGAAUUUUGGACAAUGGGGAAACCCUGAUCUGAACAUAUCCGCGUGCGAUGAAGGCCUUCGGGUUGUAAAGCACUUUUGGCAGGAAAGAAACGGCAUCGGAUAAUACCCUCGUGCAACUGACGGUACCUGCAGAAUAAGCACCAUAACCAUGCCAGCAGCCAGCGGUAAUACGUAGGUGCAAGCGCGUUAAUCGAAUUACUGGGCGUAAAGCGUGCGGUGCGGUUCGGAAAGAAAAAGAUGAAAUCCCAGAGCUUAACUUUGGAACUGCAUUUUUAACUACCGAGCUAGAGUGUGUCAGAGGGAGGUGGAAUUCCGCGUGUAGCAGUGAAAUGCGUAGAUAGCGUGAGGAACACCGAUGGCGAAGGCAGCCUCCUGGGAUAACACUGACGCUCAUGCACGAAACGGGAGCAAACAGGAUUAGAUACCCCGGUAGUCCACGCCCUAAACGAUGUCAACUAGCUGUUGGGGCCUGGGCCUUGAUAGCGCAGCUAACGCGUGAAGUUGACCGCCUGGGGAGUACGGUCGCAAGAUUAAAACUCAAAGGAAUUGACGGGACCCGUACGCGGUGGAUGAUGUGGAUUAAUUCGAUGCAACGCGAAAACCUUACCUACCCUUGACAUGUCUGGAACCACAGAUUUGGGAGUGCUCGCAAGAGAACCGGAACAUAUGGUGCUGGCAUAAAUAAUGCGCCAGCUCGUGUCGAGAUGUUGGGUUAAGUCCCGCAACGAGCGCAACCCCUUGUCAUUAGUUGCUACGAAAGGGCACCUUUAACGAGAUCUGCUGCGUGACAAACUGAGGAAGGUGGGAUGACGCCAAGUCCUCAUGGCCCUUACAGGGUAGGGCUUCACACGUCAUACAAUGGUCGGGACAGAGGGUCGCCAACCCGCGAGGGGGCCAACUUAGAACCGAUCGCAGUCUGAUCGCAGUCUGCAACUCGACUGCGUGAAGUCGGAAUCGCUAGUAAUCGCGGAUCAGCAUGUCGCGGUGAAUACGUUCCUGGUCUUGUACACACCGCCCGUCACACCAUGGGAGUGGGUUUUACCAGAAGUAGUUAGCUCAACCGUAAGGAGGGCGAUUACCACGGUAGGAUUCACAUCAGGCAAGCUGUAACAAGGUAGU
Molecule: ribosomal RNA, 1464 nt
Filed under: uncultured Bordetella sp.
Lineage: Bacteria; Pseudomonadati; Pseudomonadota; Betaproteobacteria; Burkholderiales; Alcaligenaceae
Description: partial 16S-23S ribosomal RNA intergenic spacer
Rfam family: Bacterial small subunit ribosomal RNA
Source: RNAcentral